Molecule: long non-coding RNA, 600 nt
Organism: Hibiscus syriacus
Lineage: Eukaryota; Viridiplantae; Streptophyta; Magnoliopsida; Malvales; Malvaceae
Exons: 3
Source: RefSeq, a predicted model, not a curated record
ACGUGUUGGGCAGGUAAGAUUUCCCAAUUCUUCAGUUCCAAUUCCUAACCCUCAAUCCCCAAUUCAUAAAUCCUUCAUGUCCAAAUACUCAUCUCCUUCUCUGACUAUGACAAUACCCUCCCCUUGAAAAAAUCCUUGUCCCCGAGGAUCAAAAGAUGGAAACUACCCUCUCAAGACCAUAUAGUCUUCCCAAGUGUCAUGAGUAGCAUCCAGAUUCGACCAGCAGGUGGUUCAGUUGAAGGAACCAAUGACUCCCCAAUGAGUUUCUUUAACAGACAAACAUGAAAUAUGAGAUGUAAUUUAGAGGUCACUGGUAACUCCAAUCGAUAGGCUACCUGCCCUAUCUUCACCAAAAUUUUAUAUGGACCAUAGUAUCUUGCUGCUACCUUUAGAUAUUUUCGCAAAGCCAGGACCUGUAAGGCUAAAGUUUCAGGAGAAAUAUUAGAUGGGUUGGGUACCGAAAUAGACAGCAGAAAAAACCAACUGGAUUUUGUUCAGGUAAUUUUUAUUCACAAUCUGCAAUUAGAAAUAUUAAAUAUUUGAUCUUAUUUUUCAAAAACUUGAGCUGAAUAUGCAGCCCUUUAACUGUGUUACUUGUCU